UGGGGAAUAUUGCACAAUGGGCGAAAGCCUGAUGCAGCAACGCCGCGUGAGUGAUGAAGGUCUUCGGAUUGUAAAGCUCUGUCUUUUGGGACGAUAAUGACGGUACCAAAGGAGGAAGCCACGGCUAACUACGUGCCAGCAGCCGCGGUAAUACGUAGGUGGCGAGCGUUGUCCGGAUUUACUGGGCGUAAGGGUGCGUAGGCGGAUGUUUAAGUGAGAUGUGAAAUACCCGGGCUUAACUUGGGUGCUGCAUUUCAAACUGGAUAUCUAGAGUGGCAGGAGAGG
This 285-nucleotide ribosomal RNA is filed under the name uncultured bacterium. RNAcentral describes it as "partial 16S ribosomal RNA". It matches the Rfam family "Bacterial small subunit ribosomal RNA", at positions 355 to 658 of the family's 1533-position model. The record is from RNAcentral.